Molecule: non-coding RNA, 566 nt
Organism: Pogona vitticeps (central bearded dragon)
Lineage: Eukaryota; Metazoa; Chordata; Lepidosauria; Squamata; Agamidae
Source: RefSeq, a predicted model, not a curated record
UGAGAUGAGAAUAUAAAAAGCCCAUUUCUCUCUCCCACAGAUGUUGAUGGAGAAGAGUUGACGCCUUGCCUUCUUCAGACAGAAGAUGUGGGUUCUGCUGACGGUGAAGAGCAGUCCGUGACAACCCCAGUCCAGGCCAUGAAAAGCAGCCUUGAAAAAGCCGAUUCCAGAACCGAAUCCAGUCUGGCCGAGGGGACGAGUGAAGAUGCCGAGUUUGAAUCUGUGGAUAAUUCCUCACUGCUUGCAGAGGCCAACUUCCUGUCCCCUUCCCUGGAAGGAGCUCCCUCAAGUCUCCUGCCUCCGGGGACCCAGGACCUCACACCAGGCUCCGAGAUCCGUCAGACAAGUAUCUGCUCCAGUUCCUGAGGAUCGGGGCCAAAGAGGCUCCGACCCUUUGCUUUGCACUCCGACCGGCACACGCCCACCACAGGCCUUGCUCUCCCAGGGAAGCAUCUCUUCCCAGCUUGUGUUUACAUUCCAACUUCUCUUCCCACCCCCUUCCCGGUUGCCCUAAACCACCUCACCCGGAGACACUGUAAUGAAAAAUAAAAGUUUACCUGCUAACA